RNAcentral lists this ribosomal RNA (433 nucleotides) under uncultured bacterium. Its description in RNAcentral is "partial 16S ribosomal RNA". It matches the Rfam family "Bacterial small subunit ribosomal RNA", at positions 29 to 507 of the family's 1533-position model. The record is from RNAcentral.
AACGAACGCUGGCGGCAUGCCUAACACAUGCAAGUCGAACGAGACCUUCGGGUCUAGUGGCGCACGGGUGCGUAACGCGUGGGAACCUGCCCUUAGGUUCGGAAUAACUCCCCGAAAGGGGUGCUAAUACCGGAUAAUGUCUUCGGACCAAAGAUUUAUCGCCUUUGGAUGGGCCCGCGUUGGAUUAGCUAGUUGGUAGGGUAAAAGCCUACCAAGGCGACGAUCCAUAGCUGGUCUGAGAGGAUGAUCAGCCACACUGGGACUGAGACACGGCCCAGACUCCUACGGGAGGCAGCAGUGGGGAAUAUUGGACAAUGGGCGAGAGCCUGAUCCAGCAAUGCCGCGUGAGUGAUGAAGGCCUUAGGGUUGUUAAGCUCUUUUACCCGGGAUGAUAAUGACAGUACCGGGAGAAUAAGCUCCGGCUAACUCCGUG